CUUCAGUACGGUAAAGGGGGAUGGAAUUCCGCGUGUAACAAUGAAAUGCGUAAAUGUGCGGAGGAACACCGAUGGCGAAGGCAAUCCCCUGGACCUGUACUGACGCUCAUGCACAAAAGCGUGGGGAGCAAACACGAUUAAAUACCCUGGUAGUCCACGCCCUAAACGAUGUCAACUGGUUGUUGGGUCUUCACUGACUCACUAACCAAGCUAACGCGUGAAGUUGACCGCCUGGGGAGU
Molecule: ribosomal RNA, 240 nt
Filed under: bacterium AT08-07
Lineage: Bacteria
Description: partial 16S ribosomal RNA
Rfam family: Bacterial small subunit ribosomal RNA
Source: RNAcentral